UACGGGGGGAGCAAGCGUUGUUCGGAUUUACUGGGCGUAAAGGGCGCGUAGGCGGCCACCGCAAGUCAGUUGUGAAAUCUCUGGGCUUAACCCAGAAAGGUCAACUGAUACUGCGGGGCUAGAGUGCAGAAGGGGCAACUGGAAUUCUCGGUGUAGCGGUGAAAUGCGUAGAGAUGCGGAGGAACACCGAUGGCGAAGGCAGCCCCCUGGGCCAAUACUGACGCUCAGGCACGAAAGCGUGGGGAGCAAACAGG
RNAcentral lists this ribosomal RNA (254 nucleotides) under uncultured bacterium. RNAcentral's name for it is "partial 16S ribosomal RNA". It matches the Rfam family "Bacterial small subunit ribosomal RNA", at positions 524 to 776 of the family's 1533-position model. The record is from RNAcentral.